GUUCAGUGAGAGAACGUGGCAUUGGCAUCUGAUAGGCCAGGUUGGACCUCGUCUCCACUGUGUGAGCCCAGCAGUGACUCAUCCUCACCAGGCCGCCACUUCCACACUGAUACACAAGAUGCAUUAUAGGUCUGCUCAGAGACUGAGUGAGAUUUAACACGGCGUGGGUCUAGCACAGUGUCUGUUGUGUCUGCCCUGCUUCCCUUUUGCCUCUGUCUGAACCCAGUGAGGCCAGCUCCCUGGCUCCAUCCUCUGCCCUCCUCAAGCGGUCCCAACCAUCCUUGUCUUGCCUGAUUUUUGCCACACUUCCUUGCUCCUCUUCUCCAAAACCAUAUUCACCUGUCACUUCCCUUGCUCAAGAGCCUACCAUAGCUCCCUAUUACUGAUCACAUCUAAAUCAGCCUUCUCAGCCUGGCAUUUGAGGCCCUUUCACCUCACCUUCCAGCCCCAUUUUCUCUCCCUUGUCUCACCAGACGCCCCUUGCCCUAAGCUGACUUGGCCCUGGCUGACCUCCUGCUCCCCAAACUUUCCCCACAGCACUCAUCUCUUGUGGCCUCCCUCCACCCUCCUCCCUUGUCUUCCAAGCUGGACCCAGCUCAUCCAUCUCCAAGCUCCAACAAACAAGUUACAGACAAACCAAAUCUCAAGCAGCAGCCAAGAGGAAGCCUGUCCAUAAUGGGCCAUAAUACAGUUACCGGCGGGUCGGCUUUGGGAAGAAUCAGGUAGUCUGGCAGUGCUGCUUUGUAGGAUCCAGGCCCUGCCCAGAAGCUCAUAGUCCAAGAUGAUAAACUCCUCUGGCCUUUCCACACAGGAUGUGGCCCCCAGAUUGGCACACAGUGCCCUCUCCUCUGCUGUCGGAAUGCUUCAAGGCUCAGCUCCAUGCCGUUGCUACAGACAGUUUCCAAGAUGGCGCCUACCCGCGUUUGUUCUUCCUCCCAGAGCUCUCACAGAGCGUUGCUCAGACUCAUGUUGCAUUGGUUCAUGUUUUCCUCUCAUUGGCUGUUGACAGACCCACUUACCAUGGAUUCUGGGUCUGACAUGAGCACAGUGCAUUGCACGUGGUAGGCACCCCAAAGGUAAGAGAGAGUGAAGGAAGAGAGGAAGAAGAGCAGAGACAGGGUGGGAAAAGGAGGGAUGGGCUCUGUGUAUGGUCACG
This 1156-nucleotide long non-coding RNA is filed under the name Equus caballus (horse). RNAcentral describes it as "lncRNA (ENSECAG00000056698.1)". The record is from RNAcentral. Lineage: Eukaryota; Metazoa; Chordata; Mammalia; Perissodactyla; Equidae.